GGGGCCAUAGCUCAGCUGGGAGAGCGCAACACUGGCAGUGUUGAGGUCAGCGGUUCGAUCCCGCUUGGCUCCA
Marinobacter sp. is the source of this 73-nucleotide non-coding RNA. The record is from Rfam. NCBI's taxonomy places the organism in Bacteria, Pseudomonadati, Pseudomonadota, Gammaproteobacteria, Pseudomonadales, Marinobacteraceae.